AGAGCGAACGCUGGCGGCAGGCUUAACACAUGCAAGUCGAGCGGGCGUAGCAAUACGUCAGCGGCAGACGGGUGAGUAACGCGUGGGAACAUACCUUUUGGUUCGGAACAACCCAGGGAAACUUGGGCUAAAUACCGGAUAAGCCCUUACGGGGAAAGAUUUAUCGCCGAAAGAUUGGCCCGCGUCUGAUUAGCUAGUUGGUGAGGUAACGGCUCACCAAGGCGACGAUCAGUAGCUGGUCUGAGAGGAUGAUCAGCCACAUUGGGACUGAGACACGGCCCAAACUCCUACGGGAGGCAGCAGUGGGGAAUCUUGCGCAAUGGGCGAAAGCCUGACGCAGCGACGCCGCGUGGGGAUGAAGGCCUUCGGGUUGUAAACCCUUUCAGCAGGGACGAAGCGAAGUGACGGUACCUGCAGAAGAAGCGCCGGCUAACUACGUGCCAGCAGCCGC
RNAcentral lists this ribosomal RNA (451 nucleotides) under uncultured bacterium. RNAcentral describes it as "SSU rRNA". It matches the Rfam family "Bacterial small subunit ribosomal RNA", at positions 26 to 518 of the family's 1533-position model. The record is from RNAcentral.